RNAcentral lists this ribosomal RNA (496 nucleotides) under uncultured soil bacterium. Its description in RNAcentral is "bacterial SSU rRNA". It matches the Rfam family "Bacterial small subunit ribosomal RNA", at positions 26 to 517 of the family's 1533-position model. The record is from RNAcentral.
AGAUUGAACGCUGGCGGCAUGCCUUACACAUGCAAGUCGAACGGUAGAGUAGCAAUACUCGAGAGUGGCGAACGGGUGAGUAAUAUAUCGGAACGUGCCCAAUCGUGGGGGGAUAACGUAGAGAAAUUUACGCUAAUACCGCAUACGAUCUACGGAUGAAAGCGGGGGAUCGCAAGACCUCGCGCGAUUGGAGCGGCCGAUGGCAGAUUAGGUAGUUGGUGGGGUAAAAGGCUCACCAAAGCCGUCGAUCUGUAGCUGGUCUGAGAGGACGACCAGCCACACUGGGACUGAGACACGGCCCAGACUCCUACGGGAGGCAGCAGUGGGGAAUUUUGGACAAUGGGCGCAAAGCCUGAUCCAGCCAUUCCGCGUGCAGGAUGAAAGGCCCUCGGGUUGUAAAACUGCUUUUUGUACGGAACGAAAAAGCCUUCUUCUAAUACAGAGGUCAUGACGUACCGUAAGAAUAAAGCACCGGCUAACUACGUGCCAGCAGCCG